RNAcentral lists this ribosomal RNA (253 nucleotides) under uncultured bacterium. RNAcentral describes it as "partial 16S ribosomal RNA". It matches the Rfam family "Bacterial small subunit ribosomal RNA", at positions 524 to 776 of the family's 1533-position model. The record is from RNAcentral.
UACAGAGGUCCCGAGCGUUGUUCGGAUUUAUUGGGCGUAAAGGGUGCGUAGGCGGCGGAGUAAGUUGGGUGUGAAAUCCCGGGGCUCAACCUCGGAAUGGCAUUCAAUACUGCUUCGCUAGAGUACUGGAGAGGAGGCUGGAAUUUACGGUGUAGCAGUGAAAUGCGUAGAUAUCGUCAAGAACACCAAUAGUGAAGACAGCUUACUGGGCUUAAACUGACGCUGAGGCACGAAAGUGUGGGGAUCAAACAGG